CGUGGGCGAAGAGGGCGUGGUCGCGGCGGCGUGGGCCGGCAGCGGCACCUUGCAGCCUGUGGGGAUGAGAGGCUGGGCGGACUCGGGCCUGGGCCCGUAUGGACCCCCUGGCGCUGGGCCGGUGGCGACGGCGGAGGCCAGAGGAGCUGCAGGUUCUGGGGGACGCGAAACGGGCACGCAGGAGAUUAGAAGCAGCGGCGCAGGAGUGGGGCUGCCCCCAGGUGAAGGUGCGCGUGCCCGCAUCCUGGGGCAGCAAGGAGCCCGAGUCACCAGAUGCCCAGCCCAGAGGCCACCUCCCUGCACCGAGGCCAGACGGUGGCCAGGGGCGACCAAGCGUGGGGGUUCCUCAGGACGGUGGAAAGAGCUGGGCCCAGCCUUGCCCAAGAUGCAUUGCGGGGGAGUCUGGCAGCACCCGCCUUCCAGGAAACAGGAUGCCAUCGUGGACCGGACUGCUCUGUCCCCCCACCGCCUGGCCCACCGCUCCCUUCCUGGCCUCAGCCAGCCCAGCGAGCCUUCUGCCACCACGGUGCAGCCUUGGAGAGCAGGGGUGCCCUGCCAGCCUCUGCCCAGGGGCCACGGAGCCACACUGCUCUUUGCCGGGAUAGUGGCAAGUGUGAUAAAGGUUUUUGGAUGCUGGACAAGACCUCUCAUUUCGUGGUGGCACAGUGUCUGGCCACGGGUCUGCCCCCAGCCGUCCGGUGGUCCCAGUUACUUCUGCGGGCGAAGGGACAUUUUAACCAUAUGGAGAAUUGGUAGAAGAUGCAAGCUGAAAAAGGAAGAUUCCAGUUGUGGUUUCGAACCCUCAUGUGCCAGCGAAUGUAAACCUCUCCUGGGUGGAUGUGUGUGCCCACCUGUUCAAAUAGUGCCUGGUACCCUCCCGUCAGGAAAUCCCACCGUCCUCCGCUCCAGAGCCAGAAGAGCCUCCAAAUGUUACUCCGCAUGAAGCCUCCUUUCAAAUGCAUCUUGCUUGAGAAGAAAAUCAAUUGCAUUAUUUAAAAGUUUAAAAAAUUCAGUAUCAAACUUCCUGUGAGGUUUGAGAGCCCUAUAGCCUACGGAGCCAUAUCCAGAUGUAGCCCCACUUUAUACUUUUCUAUUGUUUUGUGGAUGUAUCCAGAGCUGCUUAUGUACUCUUUUUUAAUUAAAAGUCUUAUUUUUAUAUUGAAAACGCGCUAUAAUCUUAAACUGAAUUUCAGUAAAUGUUAGUAUCCAG
This is an RNA transcript of Balaenoptera musculus (blue whale), 1210 nucleotides long. It is a transcript of the gene named chromosome 16 C10orf143 homolog, with no coding region annotated. The transcript is spliced from 5 exons. NCBI's taxonomy places the organism in Eukaryota, Metazoa, Chordata, Mammalia, Artiodactyla, Balaenopteridae. The record is from RefSeq and is a predicted model, not a curated record.